RNAcentral lists this ribosomal RNA (253 nucleotides) under uncultured bacterium. Its description in RNAcentral is "partial 16S ribosomal RNA". It matches the Rfam family "Bacterial small subunit ribosomal RNA", at positions 524 to 776 of the family's 1533-position model. The record is from RNAcentral.
UACAGAGGUCCCAAGCGUUGUUCGGAUUCACUGGGCGUAAAGGGUGCGUAGGUGGUGAGGUAAGUCUGAUGUGAAAGCUCAGAGCUCAACUCUGGAAUGGCAUUGGAUACUAUCUUGCUGGAGGAUUGGAGGGGGGACUGGAAUUCUCGGUGUAGCAGUGAAAUGCGUAGAUAUCGAGAGGAACACCAGUGGCGAAGGCGAGUCCCUGGACAAUACCUGACACUGAGGCACGAAAGCUAGGGGAGCAAACAGG